Molecule: long non-coding RNA, 6091 nt
Organism: Metopolophium dirhodum (rose-grain aphid)
Lineage: Eukaryota; Metazoa; Arthropoda; Insecta; Hemiptera; Aphididae
Exons: 4
Source: RefSeq, a predicted model, not a curated record
UAUGAUUCAAUUUUUUUCAAAAUAUCAGCAUCAUAAAAUAUAAUUUAAAAAAUAAAAUAUACGAUUUUUUUUAAAAAUGUUAAAUGUUAAAACAAUAGGAUUGGUUAGCAACACGUUAUAAUAGUUAGUUAUUCAUAAUUUUAAAUAUUAAUAUACAGUAAUAUACUUUAUCAUGAAAAUUAUUAAGCUAAAAAGUAGGUAAUAAUACGAUGUAUUCAUUUAUCUAUUACAGCUGAUAAGAUUAAAAGCAAUUAAAUAAACAAGGAAGAGUUCUUGAUAAAAUUGCAUAUUUAAACAGUAGACCAAAGUCCCAAGAAACUAUUUAACUAUAAAGCUAUUAACAAUGCAUUACAAUAUUUUUAUUUAAAAUUAUGUACGUAAAUAAGAUUAAUUUAUAAUAUCAUUACGAAAAAUAUUUCAAAUUUUUUUGUUUAUUUAGUAAAAAAUUAUUUCAAUGAAAUAAUUUAUAAAUAUAACUAUACUUUAUCAUUGUCUUUUAAAAAUAAAAAUAAAAUAACUAUUAAGAAUGCGUUUUUUUCAAGUACUUACUUUGUUUGAAACAAUUUGUUUAUAAAGUUCUAAAUACGAUUUAUAAAUAUCACAGCACGAGGGACAAUUCUCUUCAUAGUCAAAAUUACAUAAACCACCAAUUUCGUCAUGGUCAAGUCUAAAACAGAACGCUGCUGAAUGUCAAUUGGCGGGGGCAGUCACACACGUGAUACAAGCGUAUAAUUAUCGAACUACAUAACAUUCGCGACGUUAAGACUAUUUAGUAUUUCUCAAUUCUAAGUUUUUAUUACUUUUCAAAUAUUGAUUACACGUAAAAUAAAUCAUUUUGAUUAAUAAUAAAUUGCAAUCACUUAAAAUAUAUUUAUCAAGAAUCCAUACUUACAGUUGAAUGCCUCCAAUAUUUAAUUAAGUCGUGCAAGUCUGUAAAGGGACAGUAAAGUAAAAAAUCCCUCCAUUCUUCAAAGCUAAUUUCUAAACUACCAUCUUUAUCCAUCCUAAAGUAUACACAAAAAAAACAUAAGCUAGCUUAUUUUAUUUUAUAACAUUAACCCCGAAUUAAUUACCUUUUAAGAAGUUUUAUAGCUUCAGCGUCGUCAAUUUCAAUUCCUAAUUCUUGAAAAGCUCUUAUAAGCUCGUAUUGAUCAAUUUUCCCUAAAGAAAUUGUAAAUAAAUAAACUUAAAAAAAAAAUUAUAUUGUUAAUUCUUAAAAAGUAUAAAGUAUUAAGUGGGUAAAAAAUGUCCUUUGUUGUCAUAAUUUAGAAAAUGGGGCAAGUCUGUUAAAAUAUGACACUUCAGAAACCACAAAUUAUUGUAAUGAACAUUGUAGUUUUUCUUUUGCUUCGAAUAUCCGCAAUGCGCAGUACUAAAUACGCAACGCGUGUUAGUUAUCAUACAAUUUAAAAAUCGAAAUUCAAUAAUAUAUUAAUAUAGAAUAUACAGGCGUAACUAUCAACAGUAUAUGUAUUAUUUAUUUUUGUAAUGUUAGUAUUGAAACAAUAAAUUAUCAUAGUUUUUACAUAAAAUAAAUUCGUAAUAACUUAAACAUUAAAUGAUAAUUAUGUAAAUGAUAUUUUGUUCAUCUUCUACUUAAACUGUCAAUUCAGUAUUAUAUAAAUCAUAAUUUUAAGUUAAAUUACACUAUACGCUCAUAAAUAUGAUUUCUUAAUAAGAUAUAUUACAAAACUAUACUCAAUCAACUGAAAUAUUAACCUUAUCAGUUAUCACGAGCUUUUCUAAUUCAUUCAACUUAAACGUAUUUAAAAAGAGCAUUUUAAAUAUACAAAUGUACUUAUACUUAUAAAAAUUAAUUGUUUUUAAAAACUUUUUUCAAAUUUUCAACUUGACUACAGUGUUAAUAAGAACCAAUAUUUGAUUUUUUAGAAGCUUUCAUUUUAGGCCAUGAUAAUAUAAUGACCGUAUACUUAUUUAGACGGAAGGUAUUCAGUACGGUAAAACAUAUUCUACGAAAUACGACGAUAUUAUUAUCCAUUGCAUAAUAUUUGUAUGCUAUUAUUUUAAAAUAUAAUAUUAAUCAUCUCAAUGACAAAUAUAAUAAUCAUAUUUUUAUUUUAUUAUAUUCAUAAAAAAAUUGCUAUACAUCGGUAAUACAAUUUGAAAAUUUAGUGUAAAUAGAAUAUUCGAUAAUAAACUUAAAUCAUCACUACCUAUUUUUAAUUUUAAAUAAGCAAUAGGUAACCUAAAUCUUAAGACAUAAUCUUAUGCCAAUACAGACAAUGUGGAAGCCGGGUUCUAAUAAUGUGAAGUAUAAUAAUUAAUGAAUAAUUUAUUGAACUCCGUACGUACGUACGUACGUAUUUAAUAAAUUGUAUUAAACUAUUCAAACCCAUAGGUUUAUUAAGUUAAUUCAAUUUUGAUAAGCUAUUAAAUAAGUAAUCAUAAUUUAUUCAACUCAUAAUUAAAACUAGGCGACUUAUAAUACGGUUUAAGGUAAUAUGUGCAAUGCAUCAUAUCUAUAUAUAGGAAUAUAUAGGAAUUUACAUUGUACACUUUGUUACCUAUUAUAUUUACAAUUUACGAUAUUAUUUUAUUUUUUGUAAUUCAACCCAGAAGUAUAAAAACUAGAGCAUGAGUGUAUAACACUAGAUUAGUGGCGUCAUUUGAGGGGGGCAAAGUGGGCGUCUUUGUUCACGUCUGAUUUUAAAAACCGGCCUGUGUUUGCAUUUUAGUAAAAAAACAUAACUGUUAUUAUAAUUUUGAGGAAAUUUAAUAUUGUUUAGGACUAGGUACUAUACUAGGAAAUUAAAUUAUUGUCACGCAAUAAUCAUAAUUAUUAAUUUAUAUUAAUAGUUUUAAGUUAGAAAUAUAGACAUGCGACUGUGUAUAUACGAUUAGGUAUAAGAAAUGGUGUGUCCAUAGUGUGAAGGAACAAACAAAUAUUCAUUAUUAUUAUACCUGCCUUUGUAUUGUGUAAUUUACUAUUUUUAAACGCGAUGUAUAGCUGUGUAUUAUGCUUCUGUGGAACGGAAUGACCCAGGUUGCGGAUAUUAUAAUAAUAGGUAAUAGGUACACAUUUACAAAGAUUUGUAUGCGGGCAUGUACAUUGUACAACAACAAUAAUAUUAUAUACCCAUACCAUUUUUUGUAACCUUUUUUUUUGCAUUCCAACAGUAUCAAGUAUUAUCAACUGCCAUAACAUAAAUUUUAAAAACAAAACAACGAAUUAUUUAUUUAUCCGUAGUUUAUAAGAAGCAUUAUGGACCAGGGCUCUGAUAGUAUUUUAUAUUUUUACCUUUCAGUACCAUUUUAACAAUUUAUUUGUAUUAAAAGUAUUGUUAUUUGAUUUGUUCGGCAUCUAUUCUAAAAAAAAAAAAUUUUAAUGACGCCAUUGCACUGCGUAUUUGAGAUGAACUUUCUUAAUGGGGUUCUCAGAAAUAAGUAAUGUUAAGGAGGAAAAUUAGAAAAACAUAAAAACCAUUUUUAUCAAGUCAUAUAAAUUUCUACAAAACUGUAAUAUUUCCUUAUGUAUUCAUAGAAGUAUGUAAUAUACUAAUAUAUGUAUCGAACUAUUUACUAUCAUAUACAAUAAACUUUUUAACUCAUCUUUUUCUUACCAACUUGUGAAUAAUUUAUUUAUCUGUUUUCUAAAUUUUUUUGUCAGUAUUAAAUUAAAAAAACUUUGCUUUAGGUAUUACAGUGUACAAAAUCUUGGAAUAAAUAAAAAUGAUCAAAAAUAGAUUUGUGAACAAUUUUAUCAAUUAUACGUUAUAAAUUUAAAUUGCAACAUUUGCAAAAUAAAUAUUUUGGUUACGCAUUAUUUAUUUCUGAACUACAUAUUUUUAACUUUCGUGUACAACUAUCUUUAUUAUUUAAAUAUCCUUAUAUUUAAUCAAGUGAUUAACAGUUUUUUUGUAGAAUUGUAGAUAAUAAUAUAUAAUCACAUCAGACAAAUCGCAGGCAAUAUUUACGAAAGUGCAAUGUGUGUACUUCCUCCAACAAUUUAGACUUUAGAGGCCUCAUAUUUCAAAUAUUUUCUGAUAAAACAAAUAUACGAAAUACAAUUUUUGAAAAUAUAUUUUUCCCCUCUCUAAUACAUUAAUAUUUUCUGUCGUAAAUUGUAUUGAUGAACAAAAUCAAUGUUCAAUAAUAGACCAAUAGAAAAAAUUAAUUAUUUUAUCGCUAUACAAUCAUUGUUGCCUUUACUCGAAAAACAGUUAUCAUAGCUGCAGGUUAAUGUAGAGGGCUGUUAGUGUAUUAAACGUUUAGCAUAAUUUUUAAAUAAGUAUAAAAAGUUCAAUAGAACCGUUAGUGUAAUAAACUUUUAGCACAGUUUUUUUUAUUUUAAAAGGGCGCUACAUCCGCAAGCAUUAUUUCUGUCUUACAAACGCAAAAAAUUUAAAUUGUACGCUCAGUAGAUCACGUUUAGCUCUAUUCAUUUAAAGAUUACAGUGAAUUGACCUCUAAUAAAUUUUAGAAGUAAAAAAUAUUUUCUAGUGAACUUCAUAGUUUUUUUUUUAUAUUUUAAUUUUAAAGCAAGUUAUGUAAUUUUUUUGCGUCUGUAAGACGGGUGUAGCGCACUUUAAAAAUAAAAAAACUGUGCUAAAAAUGUAUUACACUAACGAUUCUAUUGAACUUUUUAUACUUAUUUAAAAAUUAUUUUCCUGCAUUAGUUUUAAUUCAAGAAAAUUUGGUCAUGCUACAGCAUACACUAAACUUGGGUGUAUAAAUGAACUCUAUAAUUGUUUCCAUGUUGGUCCAUUUUAUUUGUCCCAAUUUCUUUUAAUCAAGCUGUGGGCAUAUGACUUGGGUACUUGACACAUAAAAUAAUUUGUAUAAAAAAUAUUCAAAAUUUUUUUUUUAAUUUAGACCCCCAUCAGUUCCUGUUUGUUAUGUUAUUAUUUAUUUUCGCUCCCCCUUUCGUAUUUAAUCCAAAUUAUGGAUAUUUUCAUCCAGAAGGGAGACUUAGCCCUCCCAGUCUUUUAAACAUCUUUAAAAACGAUUGAAAAAAUUGUAUUACUUCUUUCACAAAUAUUUAUAUUGUGUAUAGAAAAAGUACUAAAAUUGUAAUUAAACUGACUGAAAAUAAAAUUUCUUAUUUUCUAUUGUCUGGUUACAUAACUUCGUAAGCGGCAACCAUCUGCUAUUAUUUUUAAAAUAAAUUAUGAAACACCACCAUCAAUCGACACAAUUUAGAACUUUACAGCAUAGAUAUUGUUAAAAACCUAUAUUAAAUAAACAAAACAAUAUCUUUUAUCGUAGGAAGCUCGAGUAUACCAAAUGUGCAUACAGAAAAAUCUAUUUUAUGUCAUUGGUUUCAAUAUUAUUAUAUUUAAAUGUAAAGAAUAUUAUUUAUUUUGUAUACAAUAAGAUUUUAAUAUUAUCUACCAACUAGAGAAUCACUUAUCGGAUUUAUUUGAUAUUUUUAUUUUAAAAUGAGUACCUAUGAUUUUAGCCGUAGGGAUCCCAGAUUUUUUUUUUUAAACACGGUUUUUUUUAAAUCUUGUCAUUUACAUAGAUGUAGGGCGUAGUCCUUCAAAAUUCAAGUUAUAACGCAACCAUGUAAAUGAUUUAGAUAUUAUCACUUAUUAGUCAUCAGUUAAAUUUUAAAAUGCUUAAUGGUACCUAAGAAAAAAUUUAGUUUUUGAAAUAAUUUUAAAAUUUAGGACAGAUGAUUCAAAAUACAGGUCAAAAGUAUUAUUUUUAAGCUUUUGUCAGGAUACUGAGACUCUUUACUCAAAUAUGGGACAAUUCUGUAAAAUACGGGAUGAAGGAGUCUUCAGUCUUUGAUAAAAGGUCAAUAAAUUCACUUAUUCCUCCUUAACAUAUUAUAUUAAAAAAAAAAAAAAAAAUGAAUUCGACAGAAUAUAAAUUUUCUUGUAACUUGUAAUAUGUUACUAUUUGUAUAAUUUUUGUGUAGUUACUAUUUAAAUAUUUUGGAUCCAAAUGUAUCUAUUAUUGUAUCCAAAUGUAAUUAUGAAUAAUAAAAUAGUUACUCUUUAUGAAAGAAUAAGUGAUAUUAUUUUUGUGCAACAAUUACUUGAAAUUUAUCAAGUGUUAUUAAUUUAUUAGUGAAUAUACCGUAUAAUUAGUAUAACUGAAAUUGUUUUGGACAUCAAUGAUUGUA